AGCUUUGCAUAGUGGCAGUAUUGCAGCCAAUGAAGUUUAUCUGAGGCAUCAUUAUAGGAAACUGAAAACUUCCUAAUUCCGCAAUACUUUGUUUAUAUUUCUUUUAUUGUAACAUUUGAUUCAUAAAUUUAA
Molecule: small nuclear RNA, 132 nt
Filed under: Oryctolagus cuniculus (rabbit)
Lineage: Eukaryota; Metazoa; Chordata; Mammalia; Lagomorpha; Leporidae
Description: U4 spliceosomal RNA
Rfam family: U4 spliceosomal RNA
About the family: U4 small nuclear RNA (U4 snRNA) is a component of the major U2-dependent spliceosome. The structure of U4 snRNA from yeast and human has been reported. U4 snRNA presents a k-turn RNA motif in the 5p-SL related to recognition of Snu13 protein.
Source: Rfam by way of RNAcentral